RNAcentral lists this long non-coding RNA (301 nucleotides) under Elaeis guineensis (African oil palm). RNAcentral describes it as "long non-coding RNA (EGUI_LNC030432)". Lineage: Eukaryota; Viridiplantae; Streptophyta; Magnoliopsida; Arecales; Arecaceae. The record is from RNAcentral.
AGUUGCAAUCUCUAUCACCGAUCAUAGCAGAUUUUAAGAAGCAUUACCAUCACAACAUAUUGCACCAACCAUCCAUGGAUGAACCGGUCGGUGGGAUGAUGAGUGAUAACUAGGUUCUUAUCAAUUUUGCUAAUAGAUGGCAUGACCUGGCAUCCAGAUCCAGACUGAAACUCGAGGAGUAUGACUAGGUUUGGAUGUUCAUUUAACCCCAAGAUCAUUCAACCUCUUGCAAAGCGUCCAUAAUUGUCCUCAUCACUAUUUAGAUGCAAUGCAUGGACAAUUCAAAUCCUGUUAGUCAUUA